GACGAACGCUGGCGGCGUGGAUUAGGCAUGCAAGUCGAACGGUAUCAUCCUUUCGGGGGUGAGAGAGUGGCGAACUGGUGAGUAACACGUAGGUUAUCUACCCUCAAGACGGGGACAACCCAGGGAAACUUGGGCUAAUACCGGAUGUGAGCAACUUUUAGUUGUUUGAAAGGUGGCGUAAGCUGUCGCUUGGGGAUGAGCCUGCGUCCUAUUAGUUAGUUGGUGAGGUAACGGCUCACCUAGGCAAUGAUAGGUAGGCGGCCUUAACGGGUGGUCGCCCACACUGGGAUUGAGAUACGGCCCAGACUCCUACGGGAGGCAGCAGUCGAGAAUAGUCUACAAUGGUCGGAAGACUGAUAGUGCGACGCCGCGUGAACGAUGAAUCCCUUCGGGGUUAAAGUUCUUUUAUAUGUGAGCAGUGCUUCUUAUAUUAACAGUAUGGGGAAGAGAUAUUAGAAUAUGAAUAAGCAACGGCUAACUCCGUGCCAGCAGCCGAGGUAAUAC
This 504-nucleotide ribosomal RNA is filed under the name uncultured bacterium. Its description in RNAcentral is "bacterial SSU rRNA". It matches the Rfam family "Bacterial small subunit ribosomal RNA", at positions 28 to 526 of the family's 1533-position model. The record is from RNAcentral.